AACGAACGCUGGCGGCAGGCCUAACACAUGCAAGUCGAGCGCGCCCUUCGGGGUGAGCGGCGGACGGGUGAGUAACGCGUGGGAACGUGCCCUUUUCUACGGAAUAGCCUCGGGAAACUGAGAGUAAUACCGUAUACGCCCUUUGGGGGAAAGAUUUAUCGGAAAAGGAUCGGCCCGCGUUGGAUUAGGUAGUUGGUGGGGUAAUGGCCUACCAAGCCGACGAUCCAUAGCUGGUUUGAGAGGAUGAUCAGCCACACUGGGACUGAGACACGGCCCAGACUCCUACGGGAGGCAGCCGUGGGGAAUCUUAGACAAUGGGGGCAACCCUGAUCUAGCCAUGCCGCGUGAGUGAUGAAGGCCUUAGGGUUGUAAAGCUCUUUCAGCUGGGAAGUUAAUGACGGUACCAGCAGAAGAAGCCCCGGCUAACUCCGUG
RNAcentral lists this ribosomal RNA (433 nucleotides) under uncultured bacterium. Its description in RNAcentral is "partial 16S ribosomal RNA". It matches the Rfam family "Bacterial small subunit ribosomal RNA", at positions 29 to 507 of the family's 1533-position model. The record is from RNAcentral.